Molecule: long non-coding RNA, 1679 nt
Organism: Hydra vulgaris (swiftwater hydra)
Lineage: Eukaryota; Metazoa; Cnidaria; Hydrozoa; Anthoathecata; Hydridae
Source: RefSeq, a predicted model, not a curated record
ACUUUUGCUUGUCUUAUUGCAGUAGGAGACGUCAUAACUCAUCAAUGUAAGAGAUAUUUCUCACUUUCUAUUAACCAGACUCUCAAGGAGGAAGUAGCAUGUGCAAGGCAGCACGAUAUAAAUAGUGAAGAGUUAAUGGGAAUGUUUAGUGAGGCUGAAGAAAGAUCACCUAAUGCAACAGUUUGUUAUGCUUCAUACAAAUUAAAUUACCUAGAAAGUUUAGAUCAAUUAUCUAGAGAAAACAUAAUUAUGUGGUCGAUUCAGAAACCCAUAAAAAUGUAGUUAUGUGGUCGAUUCAGAAACCCAUAAAAAUAUAGUUAUGUGGUUGAUUCAGAAACCCAUAAAAAUAUAGUUAUGUGGUCUAUUCAGAAACCCAUAAAAAGAGAUGAUAAAUCAAAUGAAGCAUAAUGAUAUAUGAGCAGAUAUUUCAAAAAAACAUGUAUGCAAAUGCCAAAAAAUGGAUGAAAAAGACAAAAGUAAGUUAAAAUAACAGUUGCUUGAACUCUUUUACAAUGAAAUAAAGUGUUUAAAUACAUUGUCUAUCAAACAACGUCAUGACUAAGAUGAUGUAAUGUCAGAUAGAAUUGUUGGGCAAAAACUUUGCCAUGAAUGGUACAAUAGUAAGUAUUCGAAGUAUGUCAUGUAUGAUGGUAGAGAAGAAAAACUUGAUAAAACAAAACAAGACAAAGUUUGCACAAUUUCUUACUGGAAUAAAGGUAAUACUGAUACUGAAGCUGUUGACUACAACAUGAAAAAAUAUCAGCUUCCGCUGAUGUUGGACUAGGAGAGUUGAUUUUUUUUUGAAGUGUAAUAUGUAACAACUUAUGAUAUUACUUGUAAUGAAGCUUUAAAAAUAGAUACUGCAAGUGAUAAAACUUACAAAACAGAUACGGCAUAUGAUGAAACUUGAAUAAAGGUAUUGUAAGUAAUAUAACUUGAAGAAGUAGUCAUAUUAAGUCAGGUAUGCCUGGUAUUAAACCAUAUGUUUUUGUUUUACUUUUUUUUAUAAAUGUUUUUAGAGAAGAAUAAAAGUAUUUGACUUGGAAUGACCUUUGCACAAGUGUUGUGACUUGCAAAAUAUUUUGAUAGGCAGCUCUGGCUUAUCUUCACGUGGUGUCUAUUGUUACAAAUGAUUAUUAUAGUGUUCCAUUUAUGAAAUUGACUAUUUUAAUUAUUUACUAAAAGCUAAGACAACUAUUUAAACUUAGGAUAUCUAAAAUGUUUUAAUACAGAACAAUAUAAAAUUGAUUGUUACAUUUUUUUAUAGGAUACAACACUGAUAUAUUUGGUAAUGAAAUAAAAUAUAUUUAAUGAAAUAUCAAAAAAUGAAAUAUACUAAUUUAUUUUGUUUGUUAAAGAUACAAUUAUUUUUAAGAAUUCAACAUCUUUUUAUUGUAGGUUGUGGGUAACCAUUACCACCCUAUUUAACAAACUUCUCAACUUAACCAAAAUUUACGAAUAGCAGCGGAAAGACUUUUUUUUCAAAAGUAGGCUCAGUUGUGGUCUUUAUCUUUAGCUUGUAGGUUAUACUUGGUGCAAAAAGCCUAAUUCAGGUUGGGGGGGGGGGCACACGCCCCUCCCACAAGUCAAUAAGCACACCACCAAUAAAUGAAUUUCUUGUAGCAAAAAAAUUUUUUAUGUUUUUUAUACUAUAUACUAGUUUCACUUAUUUUAUUAAA